GCAAAUGUGGCAUAGUGGUUUGAGCAUUUGACUGUAACUCUGGAGACCAGGGUUCAAUUCUCCACUCAUCCA
RNAcentral lists this transfer RNA (72 nucleotides) under Phrynosoma platyrhinos (Desert horned lizard). Its description in RNAcentral is "tRNA-OTHER". Lineage: Eukaryota; Metazoa; Chordata; Lepidosauria; Squamata; Phrynosomatidae. The record is from RNAcentral.